This 912-nucleotide unclassified non-coding RNA is filed under the name Hevea brasiliensis (rubber tree). The record is from RNAcentral. Lineage: Eukaryota; Viridiplantae; Streptophyta; Magnoliopsida; Malpighiales; Euphorbiaceae.
ACUCGCCUGGUGACUCAAUGAUUCGAAUGGCGACGACAUGGCGAGUCCAUAAUCUGCCAACUUAGCGUUCCAAUUUGCGUCGAACAAAACAUUAGCAGAUUUGAUGUCUCUAUGGAUAACCAAAGGAUUGUUUUCAUGAAGGAAUUGCACUGCCCUAGCGAUUUGGAGAGCGAUCUCUACACGUUUAGGCCAAGAAGGCGGAGUUUGGGCUACAUGCAACAUUUCAUGAAGAGAACCAUUGGGCAUGAACUCCAUGACCAGAAGCUUUCUGCUGCUGAUCUUCUCCUUAUUGCUAGCAGCUGCAGCCGAGUCAUGACUCGUUCCAAGAAAGUUGAUGAUAUAUGGACUUUGAUGAUCACGCAGAGAUGAUAAUAUACAAAUUUCAUUCUCGAGUUUCUUGGAGUUGUCAUUGGAGACAUGAUCAAUACCAAUGGACGAUUUCUUGAUUGCAAGAACUUUAUUUUCUUCAAGCAGUAUUCCUUUGUAGACUGAUCCAUGGCUUCCUUUACCUAUGAGUCUUGAUGGAGAGAAUCCUUCAGUGGCUUUUACAAGAUCUUGAUAGUCAAACUCUGCCAUUUCGAUCUUUUCUUCUCUGCUUGUUCUUCUGUUGUUGUUGUUUGGGAAGAGAGAAUCCUAGUGGGGUAUUAUGGUUCUGAAAGAAAGAGAGAAUUGGAUGGUUGGUUAUGGUUGUUUGUUUGGACGGAAAGUGGGUUAAUUUUCUUGGGCUUGGAGGAAUGUAAAGGAAAAAGAAAGCAGAGUGUAGAAGGCAGAGAAUAAAGGGGCUUUGAGCUGCAUGAAAAGGAGAAAUUAUAAUGGGAGAAUUAUUGAAGAAAGGAAAAGCACGAAGGGUGUCUUAGUUAAAAGAAAAGGCUUCUGACGACGGACAAGGCUGAGCUGGUUGUUGGGUCCUCC